Molecule: long non-coding RNA, 1890 nt
Filed under: Homo sapiens (human)
Lineage: Eukaryota; Metazoa; Chordata; Mammalia; Primates; Hominidae
Description: HSALNT0003781
Source: RNAcentral
GGCUUCCUGGCUUAGCGGGCGGAAAAGGGGUCCCAGGAAGGCCCCAUGAACAGGUCCAGAGCAGCCUUCUCUUUCCCUCUUUCUGGGUCUCCAUGGAACAGACAGCUGAGACAAGCCUGCUAGCCUCAUUGCCUUUGCACAAGCUCUUCCCUCUGCCUGGAACACUUGUUGCUUCAGGAGUCGGCUCGAUGUAACUUCUACAGGGACCUGAGCCCCAAUCCAAGUUAGACACCUGGUUAUUGCAGCAGCCUGUAUCUCACCGUCCCAGAAUGAAUCAUGACUGCAAUGAAAACGAUGGCAUGAGCAUUUGUUACCAUCAGGCUUCCGCCCUAGAUUAUGAGCUCCCUGAGGACAAGCAGAGGGUUCAUCUCUCUUUAUAGCUAGAACCCAGCACAGCGCCUGGCACUCAGGAGGCACCCAAUUACUUUGGCUGACUGGAUAGACAUACAUACAGACGGACGGAUAAAUGGCUGGAAGAGGAGUGAUUGAAAAAAUACAUUUUAAAAUGCCCUGGCUGCAUUUCUUAGAGCAGUUAUAAUGCGCGCAAUUCACACGGGAAUUAUUUUCACCCUUUGAGGGUCCGCACCCACCGGUGCCCCAGUCGCCUUUCCCAGGCAAGGCCACUGGGCGGGGCAUCCGGGGCCGUCGGAGUGACGUAACAGCGGGGCGCGUCCGGAGCCGGCCCUCACUUCCUGAUUGGCAAGCGCGGUGGCCACACCCACCGCCGCAGCCGUCGGAGUAGAGAUGGUGGCAGCGAUGGGCGGAGGGGGAGGCCCGGCGUUCGCGCAGACGGCGGUGGGGCGGUGGGGCGGUGGGGCGGUGGGGCGGCCGCGCCGGCUUCAGGGCGUCGGGGUCUCCCGGGGCACGUUCAUGAAGCCGGCGAGGUGGAGACUGGGCGCCGAGCGGUUUGCGAGGCUCGCGCGGUUCCGGGGGGCAGUGGGACGGCGGAGGGCUCGUGCGCUGCGGCUGGACCGCUCCCCGCGGCGGGCCGGGCACAGGGUGUGACCGGGCCUCCGGGCGCUCGCUGCAGCGCGUCUAUUUCGGUGCCUCUGACCUCAGCGAGGAAAGUCCCAGAAACACAGCCCCACCCUCCCUCUCACCCUCCUUGACACGCUCGCCUCUUCCCCACCACCCCAAACUCAGACCCAGAAGAACUGCGGGAAACUAGGCGCCUGCAGACCUGGUUUCUUAGCCCUAACUCUGUGUGACCCAGAACAGGAGUCCAUGACUUGUGGACGUUAGUCCGCUUAUCUGUAAAAUGAAGCGACACCUGCGUUAGAUGAUGCGAGUGACACAAACCUCUGCUGGGAUCACUUCUUCCCUGAGCCAUCCCCUCACACCUUUUACCUGGCUAACUCCUCAUCCCUGAUCAUCAUGGAAGAGGAUGGAUCCUGACCCCUAAGGUGGGUCUCAGUUCAGCUGAGGACUGGUGAGUGACUGCUGACCUCACUCAGCGCAGCCACUCCCCUCCUUGCCUCCUUCCCUCUGCCCACGUUGAACUUUCAGCUGCUUGAAAAUACAUGUCUCUCUCGCCUCUGAGCCUUUGCACCUGUUUUUCUCUCAGACCUAAACACUCUUCCCUUCCCUAUUUAACUUGUAUUUAUCCUUCAAAAAAAAAAAAUCUCAGUUUAGGGCCAGGUGUGGUGGCUCAUGCCUGUAAUCCCAGCAUUUUGGGAAGCCAAAGUGGGCGGAUCACCUGAGGUCAGGAGUUCAAGACCAGCCUGGCCAACAUGGCAAAACCCCAUCUGUACUAAAAAUAGCAAAAAUUAGCCGAGCAUGGUGGCAUGCACCUGUAGUCCCAGCUACUCAGGAGGCUGAGGCAGGAGAAUCGCUGGAACCCAGGAGGCAGAGGUUGCAGUGAGCCGAGAUUGCACUACUGCACUCCAGCCU